CUGAGCUACUCUGGUGCCCCUCUUCCAAAGAAUUUAAGAGCAAGACCUUGAGACAUAAAGGAUCUGUAAUGGAUACCUGUCAGCUGUGCCUGUCAGCAUCCCCUCCCCCAUCCUCCGUUGACACAGUGCCUUAUCUCCUUUGGGCAAGGGAGAGCAAGCCCAUCUGCAGAGCAGAGAGAUGAAAAGAUAACAAGAAAAGGAGAAAGAGAGAGAGAGAGAGCGAUCUUCCUGCAUUGCUAAAUGCCUAUAAUCCUCUGAGGUUGAGUUCUCCUGGACUUCCCAAUGCAAGAAGCAAAUAAAUAAUAAGCCAAUCAAUAAUAAUCCCCUCCUUUCUGCCUUUCCUUCUUUUUUCUUUCAUCUGCGUUUACUUGUUUGUUUAUAGCUAGUUUGAUUCUGGUUUCAGUUUCUUGCAACCACAGAGUCUCAACUAAUGCAGGACCAAGUACGUUUUGACCAGGAAAUGUGUUUGUGACCCUUCAUUCAUAUAUUGGUGUAAGAAGGCAGUGGGUGGAGAAAAUCAGAUUAUGGCUGGACAGAGUGACUUUUUUCUAUCCUUCACAACUUUACUUGCUACCAUGAUUCCCAGGUUGAUUGCAACUCUCUGAGGCAUGAAGGAGGCAUCUGCCUUCAGGAAAUAUUGAAUUGCAACAGCAACAUGGAACACGGUUUCCUAUUGACUCCUGCCUUUGCCUGCAGCUGUUGAUGGCAUUCUCUAAUAGGCAGCUAACCGAUGGGAAUGAUCUGGUUUUUCCCUCUUUGCAACUCAAGGGCAUGGAGAACUCUGGUUUUAGGGGAACUAAACUGUGAAUUCUAACCCCGGCUCAAGCAGAUUUGACUUGUGUGAUCUUCCAAAGAUUCAUCAGAUCUAAAAUCUCAACAUGCUGUUAUUAAACUGGAUAUUAUAAGACAUUCUUGACAUCACAGCUGCCAUUUAUUAAACAUCAAAUGGU
This is a long non-coding RNA of Mustela erminea (ermine), 950 nucleotides long. RefSeq lists it as uncharacterized. The record is from RefSeq and is a predicted model, not a curated record. The transcript is spliced from 3 exons. NCBI's taxonomy places the organism in Eukaryota, Metazoa, Chordata, Mammalia, Carnivora, Mustelidae.